CGUCUUUUUAGGGCCGCACCUGUGGCAUAUGGAGGUUCCAGGCUAGAGGUCUAAUCGGAGCUAUAGCUGCUGGCCUUCGCCAGAGCCACAGCAAUGCCAGAUCCGAACCACAUCUGCGACCUACACCACAGCUCAUGGCAACGCUGGAUCCUCAACCCACUGAGCAAGGCCAGGGAUCAAACCUGCAACCUCAUGGUUCCUAGUCAGAUUCGUUUCGUUGUGCCACAACGGGAACUCCACCAAUACUUAUUUUUAAACUCUUAUGUUUUCUUUUAGUAUUUAUAUAUUCUUAUUUUUCACAUUUAAAUUAAUCUGGAACUUAAUUUAAGAGUAAUCUGUGGGUUCAACUAUAUCUAUAACUAUCUAUCCAUCCAUCUAUUAUCUAGCUAUCUAUCAAUUUUUGGCCAAUUGUCUUAGUUUGAUAUACCAAAUAGUUCAUCCUUUUCUAGUGGGUUUAAAAUAUGCUUCUCACAUUGUCAAUUUGUAUGAACUUCCUUCAGCUUUUGGACACUGCAUUAGACCCCACUGAAUUAUAUAAAGUCCUUGAACACUUAUCAGUUCCAUAUUGUUGUAAUUAUUAGAAUUCUAAAAUAUAUCUUAACAAGAUCAUAUGCGUUAAUCUUGUUUUUAUAUUUUUAAAUGAUUUUAAUAUUUAUUUUGCUGGAUAGAUUUUAGAUUCACAUUUUUUCCUAAGAACUCUGCAUCUCCCCAUAAUCCUACUAGAUGUCCAGGAAGCCUUCUUUAUAUUAACAAUUAGAUGCAAGGUGAAUUGGUAACACUUAAAUAUUUAGAUUUUCCACCCAGUUUCGUUUUUAGAUGUCUACUUAUUUUUUCUUUUUUGUUCAACCUAUGCAUGUGGAGUUCUCAGGCCAAGGAUCAGAUGUGAGCUGUAGUUGCAACCUAAGCCGAAGCUGCAGCAGUGCUGGAUCCUUAACCACUGUGCAGGGGAUCAAACCUGCAUCCCAGUGCUCCCAAGACACCACUGAUCCCGUUGUGCCACAGUAGGAACUCCUAUAGUAGUUAUUUUAAAUGGGAAACUUUUCUUUUUCAUUCUCUUUGAUACUGAUAUUAUGAAUGACAUACAAAUAUAUACUGAAUUUUUGUGUAAUCAAGUAUAGCCAAUUUAUUAAUUUAUUUUUAUAAAGUAUUUAUUUGCUGAUUUACUUAGGUUUUCCUCAGUGAAUAAUUGUGUCAUCGAUACAAAAAUAAUUUUGAUAAUUUUGCCUCUUCUUUUCCAAUGUAUACAUUUAUCUUUUGCUGUUUUAUUUCAUUUGCUAGAAUUUCUAGAAAAAUACAGAAUAAUAGUUUUAGUGGGGGUUUGGUCUUAUCUUCAUCUUAGGUGAACAUGGUUUUAAUAUUUUCCUGGUUCUGAGUUUCUGGCAGAUUAUAAUUUCAAGAAAAAGCAUAUUUAGUUUCAUUUACUAAGAAAUUUACUGGAAAUGGAUGUUGAUAUUCUUAAAUUAAUUUAAAAUAUUCUUGAUGUUAAUUUUUAGAAGGUCUUUUUAAUAUAGUAAAUAUCUAUAAAAUAGAAAUUAUAUAGAAGCUUUAUAAUAUCUUAACUUAUUUUUGGUUGUGCCUCCCAAAAGAAUUCCCUAAAAUAAAUAAGUUAAUUGUCAGUUACUAGUUCUGUCAAAUCUGGGUUUCCCUUUCAACAUAUCUGGACAGAUAACCUCCAAGGAGAUCUGCUAAGAAUACUUUUUUGUCUUUUUACGGCUGCCCCUGCAGCCUAUGGAAGUUCCUGGGCGUGGAGCUGAAGUAAAGCUGCAGCUGCUGGCCUAUGCCAUAGCCACAACAAUGUGGGAUCCAAGCCACAUCUGUGACCUAAACUGCAGCCUGCAGCAAUGCUGGAUCCUUAACCUACUGAGCGAGGCUAGCGAUUGAUCUUACAUCCUCACAGACACUAUCUUGGGUCCUUAACCUGCUGAGCAACAAUGGGAACUCUAAAAAUAUUUUUUAAACAUUUUAGAAAUAGAAGUAACAUUGUUUAAAAAAAUUAAAGAUAUAAAUAAAAGUAAAAAAUUCAUAAAAACUCAUAUACUAAUAAACAUAGAUAAUUACUAGUCAAUAUUGCGUACUUGGUUUUUUUAUAUAUGUUUUCUUUCUUCUUUCUAAUAUAUGUGUAUAAAAUACAUUAAAAAUAGAAUAUCUUUUAUAUCCUGCUUUCUAAAUAGGAUAAAAAAAAUAGGAGUUAUUGUAGAAAGUAUAAAAAGAAGGUUUAGAAUUGCUCAAACUGGUAAAUCUUCAUAAAUUUUCCUAUGACCCACUCUUAGAGUCUGGCACUGUUUUCAACAUCAACAUGAUAUUCUUCCAGGAAAAAAAAAGAAUUGAAAAAAUUUCCCAUUAUAAAAUACUACAGAAUAUCUGAAAAGUAGCAAAAUUUAUUUAAUAUUUUUGAAAAGCAAAUAAAAAGAAUGUAGUAUUACAUUAGACCUAAAGAUCUAAUAUUUAUCAGAUCACUUGCCCUAUGGAAAACCAAUGUAGCACAAGGUAGAAUCAAUAGGAUUAUCAGAGAAGGGUCAGUUUGCAUUAUAGAAUUCAAUGCUGAUUCAUAAUGCAAAAGCAUUGUCAUCAAGCUGUGGUAGAAAGCAUUCUUUAUCACUCCAAAAAAAAAAAAACCAAAAAGCCCUAAUAGUGUCUGUUAAAACUAUUUGACUCCUGGUUUCAGGCAAAGAUUUGUAAAACUUAAUGUCUCAUUUAUUGCAAACAUAUUACCACAGGGAAGAAAAUAUUGAAUUUUUUAGGUCCACUAUUCAUAAAUUAACUAUCUAGUGAUAAAAGCUACAAACAAGAUCAUUCACAGAAAUUGGUUAUUUUCUUAACAAUGGAAGAUGGAUUUGCAUACUGCCUUAGAAUGAGGUAAGUUGAUUCUUCUGUUUACCCACAGGCUAUCAUCUAACAGUUCCACUGCUAAUGAUUAUAGAUAAAGACAUUUGUAUCAGCCUUCUCUCAGUAAUGCUUGGAACUAAAGCAAUUCAUCAAUAAGCCAUUUGUUCCCUUUUUUGAAUUAAACAAUCUGUUAGGAUAUUCUUUUCCAUCAGAGAAGAAAUAUGGAUUCUAUUUCCCAGAAUGUAAAUAAUUUUUGACUCUCCAUGUCUGAAAUGUUUCCGCUUAGACUUGACAAGCGCCUUUUCAGAAGGUGAUGCCGUCCUAAAGGUUAAAGUGGAUGAAGUGCAGGUAUAUGAGCCCGGUUUUCCUACUGCAGCAGUAAAAUGAGAGAUAAUCAAUAGGUGAAUGGAUAUUAGAUGCUCAUUUUAGAAACCAUGGGAUUCAAACAUGAGAUCAGGCUUUACUACAUAAAGACAAUUGAACUAUGGUAAACUGCAUAGUUGUUUGGCCAAAGUGGAACUGCCUGAUCCCAGGGCACUCCUCCACCUUACAUUUGCUUGAUGCACUGAAAUUCUCACAAAUAUGCCUCUUAAGGAGCACAGCAGGCCACACCAUUUCUUUACUACAACUCCCUGUCAAUGUCUGUUUAUACCAUAAAUUAUAUAUAUACACACACACAUAUAUAUACAUAUUUUCCCCUACAAUAACCAGCUAUCUUGCCAGGGCCUUAAUGCAAAAUGACCAUAUAUAACUUUUCAGUACUUUCAUAAGUGAAAUUCCAAGGUGAAGCCUGGGUUUGGCCAGAAGGAGAUUCUGAGAAAAUGAAAGAAAAUGAUGGAAGGCAACCUCCAGAAAGGCUAGGUGGCCAUAUUUUAACAGGGAUACAAUGUUAUAUCCUAAAAGUCAUUUUAAAAAAAAAACACGGUAUUUUGAGAAACUCUACAUAUGUGCAGGAUGAUUCUACACAGGCAAUACAAUAGGUAAAGCACUUAUAGAACAAACCCAAUCAACAUACAAAGUAAUCAGACGACUGAGGUCUCAACAGUAGGUGUCCCUGUUUUGCCCAAAUAAACCAGGAAGAAAGUAUCCUAAAACUACUUAUUGCCCUAAAUUUGGCCCUAUGACCCCUGGUAUCCCACAGUUGGCUUGGCUUGUGACACAGAUUUUGGUUCCGACCUUCUAUCAUGGAUGCAGAUGUGGUUUCCUCUCUGGCCCCAUCACUCACCAAAGACACUUGUUCCAAACCUAGAGAUCUGGCCUGUUGCCUAGAUUUUGAGAUCUGAGUUGGUUCAGGAUUAAAACUGUUAAAGAAACAGACAUUUUGGAAUGACUGCUACUGCCAGGUUUGGUUCUUAUUGCCCACUUGAAAUGCUACUGGAGGAAACCUUGUGGUUACCAAUAUUUACCCAUGGCCUUGCCUUAGUGACAGUUCCUCCCUGGGGCAAGGAAAUUUGUCAGUCCUGUAGAGCUACAUAUUGACAUGUUUGGAUAGCGAUAGUGGACAUUUUAGAGGUGGUACUUGCACAUAAUUUUGACUAUGGAAUGGUAAAUCUCUCCCUGGAAACACAAAUCCAGGAAAAGAUGUGGAGAUAGGUGUUCUCUAAAAAACACACAUUUUCCAACCUACAGGGGAGGAGGCUCAUUACAGCCCAUCACAAAGACAAGCCCAUUGAUUUUAAGCACAGUUGAAUUUCUCAUUAUCUACACUCUGCCCACUUACAACAAACUAUCCAAAAUGUCAACAUUUAUGUGGUUAAAUCUUCCCAUAUAAACAAAAUACAUCCAUAGAAAUAGGAUCAAUUAGGGUAGUCUUUCUCACAUGUAAACCUUUUCCAAAUCGUGAAUUAACAUUAACUAAAAGACAGCACUGUCUCCUUAUUUUUCUUUUAUUUUUUAAGUAUAUUCUUAUCUUCUCAGAAGAAUAAACUAUCUCUAUGAAUAAACACACAUUUUUUGAACACGCUUAAUACUUCGCUUUUUAAAAAAUGAAGUAGUUCUUAGCUACUUUUGAUUUGUUAUUUCUCUUCCUCUUUUAUCUUCUCUGUUUUGUUUGGCUUGCACUGACUCUUUCUCUAGUAAAAGGAUAGGCCCAUUGGGCCUCUAGUGCCUUCCUUCAACAACUGUUUCUCCAUCAUCUUCCUCCUUAUUUUCUGUGCACUUAUCCCAUUAUGGUAAACAUUGUCAUUGGUCACUCAACGUCUAUUCCAUUUCUUUCCUAUGGAGAAGUAAACCUGCAACUGGGAGAAUUAACCUUAUUGUGGUCAGUCUUUGGGCAUUCCAUCCUCUUUGUCAGUAAUACGUUCAAGAAAAGCAUGUGACACAAUAAAGGACAAUGUGAUAUAAAGAAGUACAUGCUGGUAACGUCUGAGAAUGUUCUCUCCACCUCUUACAGAGAACAGUUCAAGUUCAUCCCUUUUGACUUGAACAAAGGGGUAUUAUAGCAGCCCUUGAAAGUCAUUCUACUCCAAAGGGGAACCAGCUUCAGGAGAAAAACAAUAUUCUGGAUGGAGAGCAGAGAGGGAUACAAACUUUAGGACCUGAAAUCAUUCUUGAGCCCCUGGACUCACUGCUAUUUUUACACUCUGCUUUCUUACUGAUAAAAUCUGCCUGGAUUGGUAGUUCAAAGGACCCAAAUUAACACACGUCACUC
This 5476-nucleotide long non-coding RNA is filed under the name Sus scrofa (pig). Its description in RNAcentral is "lncRNA (ENSSSCG00030016167.1)". Lineage: Eukaryota; Metazoa; Chordata; Mammalia; Artiodactyla; Suidae. The record is from RNAcentral.